Molecule: ribosomal RNA, 234 nt
Filed under: uncultured bacterium
Lineage: Bacteria
Description: partial 16S ribosomal RNA
Rfam family: Bacterial small subunit ribosomal RNA
Source: RNAcentral
GGCGGACGGGUGAGUAAUGUCUGGGAAACUGCCCGAUGGAGGGGGAUAACUACUGGAAACGGUAGCUAAUACCGCAUAACGUCGCAAGACCAAAGAGGGGGACCUUCGGGCCUCUUGCCAUCGGAUGUGCCCAGAUGGGAUUAGCUAGUAGGUGGGGUGACGGCUUACCUAGGCGACGAUCCCUAGCUGGUCUGAGAGGAUGACCAGCCACACUGGAACUGAGACACGGUCCAG